This 232-nucleotide long non-coding RNA is filed under the name Elaeis guineensis (African oil palm). RNAcentral describes it as "long non-coding RNA (EGUI_LNC020756)". Lineage: Eukaryota; Viridiplantae; Streptophyta; Magnoliopsida; Arecales; Arecaceae. The record is from RNAcentral.
CUGGUUGUAUGAAAUGUGGGCCUUAUAUGGCUUUUAGGCUUGGUUAAGACCUCAAGGGCUGAAGAGCGGUAGUGGGCUAUUGUUCAAUACUUCUAUUUUCAUCUAGAAAAACUUAUUUAGAUGGGGCAGUAUCCGAUCGGAUAACUCGAUACCCAAUCUUAUAGGGUAUGGGUAAAGAAAGUAUUGAUCCAUCGAGUCAUAGAUCGAGUUCAGGUUAAAAUGCUGGGAUAUC